GCGAGGGUUCCCGAGUGGUCAAAGGGGCAGGACUUAAGAUCCUGUGGCUUAGUGCCUUCGGGGGUUCGAAUCCUCCCCCUCGCA
This 84-nucleotide transfer RNA is filed under the name Candidatus Pacearchaeota archaeon. RNAcentral describes it as "tRNA-Leu". It matches the Rfam family "tRNA". From Rfam's summary of the family: Transfer RNA (tRNA) molecules are approximately 80 nucleotides in length. Their secondary structure includes four short double-helical elements and three loops (D, anti-codon, and T loops). Further hydrogen bonds mediate the characteristic L-shaped molecular structure. tRNAs have two regions of fundamental functional importance: the anti-codon, which is responsible for specific mRNA codon recognition, and the 3' end, to which the tRNAs corresponding amino acid is attached (by aminoacyl-tRNA synthetases). tRNAs cope with the degeneracy of the genetic code in two manners: having more than one tRNA (with a specific anti-codon) for a particular amino acid; and 'wobble' base-pairing, i.e. permitting non-standard base-pairing at the 3rd anti-codon position. Lineage: Archaea; Nanobdellati. The record is from RNAcentral.